This 824-nucleotide long non-coding RNA is filed under the name Gallus gallus (chicken). Lineage: Eukaryota; Metazoa; Chordata; Aves; Galliformes; Phasianidae. The record is from RNAcentral.
AAACACUCAGCUGUCUCAAGCCCACACUGAAGAUGCAUAGGAAAGAAAGCAUUUCACAGGAACCUGAAGUAGCAGUCGCAGGAACAAACAUACAUAAGCCAUGAGAGUCGGUUUUCUUGGGAGAAGCAGGGACAAAUUAAGUUGCAGAUCAGCUGUAAUGAAAAAAAAUGUAAUCGUCUUUUGCUGGAAGUGAACUCAGCCAUUAAGAUCCAAAGUUGCAGUCAGGAUUGUCCAAUACUGAAGGCUGAGUUGGCAAUGUGCUGAUUCUGUGUGUUGCAGUCGCUUGGCAUGCAGCUGCUCUAAGUUUUGCUGCAUAGUAAACAUUUGUUGGCAGUGAAAUGGUUUUACUUCAGAAAUGGUUUUGAGUUUGCAUUGGAUGUAUUAGGCCCUUUCAAGCCAGUUCCCUCAGUUCUGUGUCUUAGUUCUGGCUACCAUGCUGCAGGGUUUGCAUCUUUCAGCAACACAUUCCUAUAGCAGAGCAAAUGGUUUCACAUUCGGUCGGCCUCCUGAAUUGUAAUGAUUUUAACAACGGAUUGUAUGCAGACUGGUAUGGAAGAUGAUAUUUUGCAAGGAAUAAUGCAGAAAGAAAAUGAAAACUCAACUUUUUACUAGUAUGUUGGAUUUUAUAGUUUCCUUUGCACUUAUGUUGUUAAAAUGUCCCUUUGUUUUGUACACAGACAUCUUUUUAAUGAGUUUACAAAAUAAAACGAACUUCCUUGCUGUGACUUUUGACCCUUUGUUUCUAGGUGAAUAAAAUUGUCCUACAACUAGCCUGGUUUUUAGCCUUUAUUUCCUCAACAUACACUGAAAUCCUAUUAAAUGUC